RNAcentral lists this ribosomal RNA (435 nucleotides) under Bacillus sp. C6(2008). RNAcentral describes it as "bacterial SSU rRNA". It matches the Rfam family "Bacterial small subunit ribosomal RNA", at positions 958 to 1392 of the family's 1533-position model. The record is from RNAcentral. Lineage: Bacteria; Bacillati; Bacillota; Bacilli; Caryophanales; Bacillaceae.
AACGCGAAGAACCUUACCAGGUCUUGACAUCCUCUGACACUCCUAGAGAUAGGACUUUCCCCUUCGGGGGACAGAGUGACAGGUGGUGCAUGGUUGUCGUCAGCUCGUGUCGUGAGAUGUUGGGUUAAGUCCCGCAACGAGCGCAACCCUUGAUCUUAGUUGCCAGCAUUCAGUUGGGCACUCUAAGGUGACUGCCGGUGACAAACCGGAGGAAGGUGGGGAUGACGUCAAAUCAUCAUGCCCCUUAUGACCUGGGCUACACACGUGCUACAAUGGAUGGUACAAAGGGCAGCGAAACCGCGAGGUUAAGCCAAUCCCAUAAAACCAUUCUCAGUUCGGAUUGCAGGCUGCAACUCGCCUGCAUGAAGCCGGAAUCGCUAGUAAUCGCGGAUCAGCAUGCCGCGGUGAAUACGUUCCCGGGCCUUGUACACACCG